This 327-nucleotide ribosomal RNA is filed under the name Streptomyces albidoflavus. RNAcentral describes it as "bacterial SSU rRNA". It matches the Rfam family "Bacterial small subunit ribosomal RNA", at positions 1 to 328 of the family's 1533-position model. Lineage: Bacteria; Bacillati; Actinomycetota; Actinomycetes; Kitasatosporales; Streptomycetaceae. The record is from RNAcentral.
CAUUCACGGAGAGUUUGAUCCUGGCUCAGGACGAACGCUGGCGGCGUGCUUAACACAUGCAAGUCGAACGAUGAACCGCUUUCGGGCGGGGAUUAGUGGCGAACGGGUGAGUAACACGUGGGCAAUCUGCCCUGCACUCUGGGACAAGCCCUGGAAACGGGGUCUAAUACCGGAUAUGACUGUCCAUCGCAUGGUGGAUGGUGUAAAGCUCCGGCGGUGCAGGAUGAGCCCGCGGCCUAUCAGCUUGUUGGUGAGGUAGUGGCUCACCAAGGCGACGACGGGUAGCCGGCCUGAGAGGGCGACCGGCCACACUGGGACUGAGACACG